CACGUAAAAUAUAAAAUAGAAACUGCAAACCCUUUUCUUUUACAAAUCCUACUUUUAAAUUUCUGUAACUGGACUCUAAUGUACAUAACCACUUGCUAGCACCUCCAAUUUCCCCUUCAGUUUCCAACUAUGGCCCUUAUCUCCGAUGAAGCUUCCUCCCUCACAGUCUCAAUUUCAUUCUAGAAGACAACGUGGAUAUAUUCAUCAAAAUUCGCAACUUCAUUCUGCCCAUUAAAUAGUUUUGGGAGAAAUCGACAACCAUAAUUGCCAUUUUUAAGAACAAUUUACAGGUAAUUCUUAAUUUUCAAGCCCUUAUGUAUUCCUAAUGUAUAAAGAAACUGAUAUUUGUGGCUUUAUCAUCAAAUUUGGAUAAUUUAAUCAAUUUUCUAGUUUCUUGGAUUGGUAAUUUUGCUUCAUUAGUGGUAGUCGAUUGGGUGGAGAAAAAAAAUGAGACGAGAAAAUUUCACUGCGUUUUCAUACAAAUAUUACUAAUGAAUGAUAGAUUAUAUUAGUUGAUACUGAACAUAAAAUUUCACUGUUUAUGGGUUGUUGUUGCUCGUGUUUUCCUCCCUUCUUUGUUGAUGCUACACUGUUGUUGUGUUGCUGAUGCCGUUGUUGUUCGUUGCUGAUGUUGUUGUGGCGUCAUUAGCACCGUCGUGUGCAGGUGGUGCUGUUUAUCGUUGUUUCUUGAGGUGGUGUGCACCUUUUCUCUAACCUUCCAGUCAGUUUUAGAUUGUUUAAUAUUGAUUGAAUUUAUGAUUAAUUGAAUGAUGUUGUGGUGGUGUUGUUCUUGUGGCUUUGUUGGUGUUGCUUUUCUUGUCCAAGCUCUAGUUAAUUGUCUUAGGCAUUUUCUGCCUAAUUUGUGAAAGCCUGAGACAUGUGAAAACCCAAUUGCUUUUAACCUGUACCAGUGGCAGGUUCCUCAUCAUCCUACCAUGGAUGAAAAUCUAGUUGUUCUAGUUGUUGGCCACUGUGGAAAUCAAAUUGAUGCCCGUGGCAUUCUUUCAAUUGUUCACACCUACUUGGGGAAGAAGCUUAACUAUUUGGGAUUAACCCAUUUUAUUGUCGAGGUCAUUGCAUUGCCAUUUGUAGAUUCAACCCAGAAGUGUCUCCAUCUAAUAGUAGAUGCAGGAUGUGCAUUUAUACCCUCAGACACCUGAAGCUGCUGCCAUCUUUCAGAGAUAAUUUUCUGAUGUGUAUUGGUACUCUGUUGAUGAUGAAAACAACUUACUGAGAGGGCACACAUUAAAGAGCAAUUGCACGAGCAAGCUAGCUGAUGAAUUUUGCUUCAGCUCGAGGGAUUUGUGGUCAAUUAUAUUUCUUCAGACUCGGGAAAGAUCAUUGCAACUGCUGCUAGGAAAGCUAAUGAGGAGAAAAUUGAUGAACUCAAGGAGUUGUGGAUUACAUAUGUCGGAGAUCAACACACAAAGCACAAAGGAUGAAUAAGUUAUAACUUUCCGCCCAAUUUUUUAACUUAAUCCACUUUUGGACAUACAUUAUAUUUUUGGAUUUGGAUAUUGAUAUCAUAGAUGUGGCUAUAGGAUAAAUUUGAUCUUGUUUAUGAUUUAGCUUAAAAAUUGAUAUGUAUAUAUAUUGGUUUUUUUAAUUAGAAGUUUAGAAUUAUGAAUACUAGUUGAAUUAUUUUGUGAUAUAAAGAAUUUUUGAAGUUUGGAAUAUCAUAUUCAAUUUAUUUGUUAUAA
Beta vulgaris subsp. vulgaris (sugar beet) is the source of this 1700-nucleotide long non-coding RNA. RefSeq lists it as uncharacterized. Lineage: Eukaryota; Viridiplantae; Streptophyta; Magnoliopsida; Caryophyllales; Amaranthaceae. The transcript has 2 exons. The record is from RefSeq and is a predicted model, not a curated record.